Long non-coding RNA from Venturia canescens, 1440 nucleotides. RefSeq lists it as uncharacterized. The transcript has 3 exons. The record is from RefSeq and is a predicted model, not a curated record. NCBI's taxonomy places the organism in Eukaryota, Metazoa, Arthropoda, Insecta, Hymenoptera, Ichneumonidae.
AAUCGACAUUUGCGAGAGAUUGACAGUUAUCAAUCGAGACCAGUUUUCAUCGAUAUACGUAGCGUGCAGAUCGUGCCAACUCGUCUCGUGUCUUUCGUCUCGUCACGUCUCAUUCUCGUUUCAUCGACGUUGUCUUGAACUACUCGCGAUUUGGCAUGAAGCGAGAAAUGGAAAGGGCGAGAGGGAGAUAGUGAGGAUGCGAAACGAUCAAAUCUGUGACGAAGAGAUUGAAAAAAAUAUGAACAACUGAUUAAUAAUUUGAUUCGGAAUGAUAGGAAAGUUGAAUAAAAAGUCACGAGUUUUGAUGGGGAUCCAAAGAGCAUCAGCUCUCUGAAGCUUGCAGACGAAAAAGACGGGGAAAAAUGAAGGAGACAAAGAGUGGAAGGAGGGAGAUUGAGAGAGGACGAGAAGAAGAGAGACGGAGAACGGAACGAGCGGCCCGUUUCAUUUAUUCAAAUGGGAAUCGAGUGAUCGAAUUAUUUCCGGAUGAAUGUUGCAUUCGCAAAUCAAUUUUCACCUAUAUUUCGGUCCUCAUUUUCGCUGCAGAGCUCCCCAAGCUCCCCGGAGGAUGGACGGAGACCUCUGGGAAAUAGCUGCGUUGGGAAGCCAACUGGGAAUGAUUCGCAAGCUCCGCGUUACUAUAGGAAACGUCUUCCUAAGAUCUUCUCGAUCCCCUGGCGUCCUCUGGCCCUCACCUAAUAUUUCAACGAGUGGCUUUCGAGCUCCGGUUUCUCAGAAUCGAUAUCUCGCACAGAAUUCCAUAAAAUUAUGACGGAGAAAUCAAAUUUUUGGAGCAGGACGUAAAAUAAUGUGAUUUGAGCUCAAAAUUAUACGAUUUUUAUUUCGUCAGGACGACUCGCGGGCGAAUAGUUUCAAAAAAUAAUUUCUCGGGGUGCCGAUACGAAAAUAUUCGCACGUCAAAAAAUGCCGAAAUAAUUUUUCCGCUCAUUAAACAAAAAUGUUAUUAGAAGUUGACAUUUUUUAAAAUGUCGCUCUUCACACGAAAUUUCCCGGCGUCGCACUGAACGGCACGAACGGUUAUUCCGGACGCGUCUGGGACUCGCGACGAGAGACGUGCGCGGUUACGUUUCGUAUAUCAAUGUAUAUAGAGGUCCACUUAUUUGUUGCCCGAAAAACGUGAGUCUCGACUCCUUGGAAUUCCGGAAUUUCCUUGUGUACUCCCGCAAGCUUGUAGCUUCGAAUUCCACUUAUUCUCGUGUCGUCCCUCUCACUUCUUCUCUCUCUCUAUCUUUUCCCAUAGUACAUAUUAAGCCUGAUGAAUAUUUGAAGCGGCAGGAGAUAAAUAAAUGAUCUCGUUUCGUCUCAAUGAAAUUCUCCAACUUGGCAGUAUUGGAAUGAAUUGUUUUUAUGAGCGAAGAGAUUGCACAGGAAAAUCGUUGAAUACACAGAAAUUUCAUUCGGUUCAAAACGUGAUGAGAC